CCUACGGGAGGCUGCAGUGGGGAAUAUUGGACAAUGGGGGGAACCCUGAUCUAGCCAUGCCGCGUGUGUGAAGAAGGCCCUCGGGUUGUAAAGCACUUUCAGUGAGGAAGAACGCCUGGUGGUUAAUACCCAUCAGGAAAGACAUCACUCACAGAAGAAGCACCGGCUAACUCCGUGCCAGCAGCCGCGGUAAUACGGAGGGUGCGAGCGUUAAUCGGAAUUACUGGGCGUAAAGCGCGCGUAGGUGGCUUGAUAAGCCGGUUGUGAAAGCCCCGGGAUCAACCUGGGAACGGCAUCCGGAACUGUCAAGCUAGAGUGCAGGAGAGGAAGGUAGAAUUCCCGGUGUAGCGGUGAAAUGCGUAGAGAUCGGGAGGAAUACCAGUGGCGAAGGCGGCCUUCUGGACUGACACUGACACUGAGGUGCGAAAGCGUGGGUAGCAAACAGGAUUAGAUACCCGAGUAGUC
This 465-nucleotide ribosomal RNA is filed under the name Vreelandella stevensii. Its description in RNAcentral is "partial 16S ribosomal RNA". It matches the Rfam family "Bacterial small subunit ribosomal RNA", at positions 338 to 795 of the family's 1533-position model. The record is from RNAcentral. Lineage: Bacteria; Pseudomonadati; Pseudomonadota; Gammaproteobacteria; Oceanospirillales; Halomonadaceae.